RNAcentral lists this ribosomal RNA (312 nucleotides) under uncultured Pseudomonas sp. RNAcentral describes it as "bacterial SSU rRNA". It matches the Rfam family "Bacterial small subunit ribosomal RNA", at positions 1070 to 1382 of the family's 1533-position model. Lineage: Bacteria; Pseudomonadati; Pseudomonadota; Gammaproteobacteria; Pseudomonadales; Pseudomonadaceae. The record is from RNAcentral.
AGAUGUUGGGUUAAGUCCGUAACGAGCGCAACCCUUGUCCUUAGUUUACCAGCACGUAUGGUGGGCACUCUAAGGAGACUGCCGGCGACAAACCGGAGGAAGGUGGGGAUGACGUCAAGUCAUCAUGGCCCUUACGGCCUGGGCUACACACGUGCUACAAUGGUCGGUACAAAGGGUUGCCAAGCCGCGAGGUGGAGCUAAUCCCAUAAAACCGAUCGUAGUCCGGAUCGCAGUCUGCAACUCGACUGCGUGAAGUCGGAAUCGCUAGUAAUCGUGAAUCAGAAUGUCACGGUGAAUACGUUCCCGGGCCUU